CGGGGUGUAGUCUCGGAGCGAGACGCCUGCUUUGGGAGCAGGAGGCGGCGGGUGCGACUCCCGCCACCCCGA
This 72-nucleotide transfer RNA is filed under the name Planctomycetota bacterium. RNAcentral's name for it is "Planctomycetes bacterium (marine metagenome) tRNA-Pro". It matches the Rfam family "tRNA". From Rfam's summary of the family: Transfer RNA (tRNA) molecules are approximately 80 nucleotides in length. Lineage: Bacteria; Pseudomonadati; Planctomycetota. The record is from RNAcentral.